CUGGACUACUUUUUACAACUUUGGCUCUUGACUUUCCUUCCCAGAAGGGGAAGAUGCACUGUCAGCCUGUCUUGUGAUCAGGCUGUAUCCUUUUGUUACCCUGAUAAAUGUCAGCUGACCAGGCUGGGAUGUGAAAAAGCUCCAUCUCUACCAGAUCUUUGCUGCUCUUCCUCUCUCAGUAUUGGUGCAGGGAAGAGCCCAGCAUCUCCCCACCUGAGCGGUGCUUGCAGACUUUGCCUGGCCCUACAAGGUCCCCAUCUCCUCCAUGCCCUGCUGUGGUCCCCCAAUGUCCUCCAAAACCAUUUCUCUUUGCCUGCUCCUGUCCCCCAAAUUCUCCCUGCCUUCUCCCUUCAGAUCCUUCCUCCCAGCUGGAUGCUACAGGCAGUGCUUUGGCCUCCAUGCUCAUUGCUGCUAGGAUCUAAUCUGGCUACUGUGCUCUGGAAGAGGAGGAGAGCGAGCCAGCAGGAGAGAGAGGAGAGAGCGAGGACCAUCGCAGGUAUUGUUGCAAGCUACAUCUUUGUGCUUUUUUUUUUUUUCUCCUUUUUUAAUUUUUUUUUUUUUUUUUUUUUUUGCUGCUGAAGCCGCAGCAGAAUUGGAAUUGGGGGCGGUGGGUGAGUGAGGGGUGUACGGACAGAGCUUUUUCCGGAUUUAUUUUUUUCUCUCGUGCAACUCGUGUGCUGCUGCGAUUGAAUGGAUGCACGGCGCCGGCAUCGCGGAG
RNAcentral lists this long non-coding RNA (718 nucleotides) under Cyanistes caeruleus (blue tit). RNAcentral's name for it is "lncRNA (ENSCCEG00000022569.1)". Lineage: Eukaryota; Metazoa; Chordata; Aves; Passeriformes; Paridae. The record is from RNAcentral.